Long non-coding RNA from Lactuca sativa (garden lettuce), 2550 nucleotides. RefSeq lists it as uncharacterized. Lineage: Eukaryota; Viridiplantae; Streptophyta; Magnoliopsida; Asterales; Asteraceae. The record is from RefSeq and is a predicted model, not a curated record.
CCGGUUAUGAAGACUAAUUCAAAUAGCCACCUCCACAAUUUUUUGCUUAAAAUAUGCAAAGACUCAUUCAAAUCCCCGGGCCAGUUCAUCGGCUCCCAGCCUCCCCGUCACCUAUAUCUUCCAUCUUCCCGUGGCAGAAUUCAGAAAACCUUAGCAUCCCUCCUUCAAGUCUCCGUCAUCAGCACCAUACACUACCAUCUUUGCUUCUGCUGCCCAUUUGCACCACACCACCAUCACCUUCACAUAUUUCCCCUCUAUCUUAGAAGACAUUGACCAACAAACUUAUCUGCAAAAUAAAUCAGUGAAACUUAUCUGUAACAGUCAAAGUUAAAAUUGUAUUCCCUCAUUUUCAUUGUUCUCGGUGUUUCCAUAUUUUUAGCCAAUUGAAUAGGUAUACCACAUAAACUCUAUAUAAUCUCCUAUAUCUCAGUCACUAUAUAGUGUAUCGACAUUUGUUGAGAUCUAUGCUCCUCAUCCUUUCUCCCACCACGAACCGCUCCCCCUUUCUAUCAGCCUCGAAGCACCGCCACCGAGUCACCACCAUCUCAAUUAAAUACCUCCAACAGCUUAACGCUCCUCUAUCCCCUCAUGAAAACUCAUCUGGAGACAGCUGCGAAAUUCAUCGCACCCUCCUCAUCCGCCAAACCUUUCUUCUCCACAACAGUCUGAAAAACCUUAAAACCACGAUAAAAGGCCAUAUAUACACAACCAUCACCGCCCACCAUCACAGAAAAACCCAAAGAAACCUUCAUUUUUAUCAACGAGUUACAAAUCCCUAACCUCUUGCAUUUUCUUUUUCUGUAAUUUUCGUAGGUUGCAGGGCAUACAUAAACUUAUUCUCAAGAUUAAGCAACAUCUUUCCUGGUAGGCAUUCAUAGAUUUAAUUAUUUUCUUUUAUCAUCUCUUGCCGAAAAUGUAUUUGCUAUUUUUUUCUGUUCAUCUCUGAUUUGCUUAAAAAAAAUUUCGUUUUUGUUUUUUUGUUAUCUAAGAUGUGCAAUCUGAUUAAGCAAGCUUGGUGGAGCAUUUUAUGGAUGUUUUCAUAGGUGUAACCUCAGUCGUAGACAUGAGGAAGGGUUGCACACCAAGUGUUUGAUAAGAAUCUCCAGCUAAAUUUCAUCUCAAAUGGACAAGUUCAGUAUUCCUCGGUCUUUUUUCUUUCUUUUUUGAUGAAACUUUUUCAUGAUUUUAUGAAUCAUUUAUUUAACCGAGGGACCAAAUUUGGGUAAACGAAAAGGGUAUAUAAAAAAGAAAAAACACAUUUAAAUAUGGAUUUCUAAUACUAUAAGUUAUUUUGAAUGUCUUUUACAAAGAUCGGGUUUGUGAAGUGAUAUGAUGGUAUAGUAUUGCUUGAGAGAGUCGAAACAACGAGAUAAAAAUAGCACUUUGUAUUCAAAAAGGUUGUCCAGGGGGGAUAACUGGGAACAACAAAUUACAAUUGUAUGAGGACAAAUCAUUAGAUUGUGAUGUUCAACAAGGUAUAAUUUUUUUUUUAUCAUAUAUCAUGCUUUGUGAUUACAAAUAUGAAAAUAGUAAAACGGUUAUAAACUCAUUAAUAAUAAUAUUAAAAAGUUAUAUCAAACAUACCUCUGAAUGGGAUCAAGGUCCAAAUAGUUAUACUAAAAAGUUUACACAGUUAUACCAAAAAUACCCCUGAAUUGUGUAUAUUUUUAACUGCUUUUAAGCCAAACCUUGAGAUGAUUUAUACUCAUUUCUUUCAACUAUAUAUUUACAUAUUCAUUCCUUUUGAUAUUUAUAAAGAUGGGACAACAAAUUUUGCACAUGGGUAUCCAAUCUUUGCAACGUCUGUGGGAAUGCUCUUCAAAUGAAAGUUGCAGCUGCUGCUGUGGUAUGUAUCAUAUUCAUAAAGUAUUUCAUUUCUUUAAUUUAGUGGGUCAAAUAUAUAAAAAUAUCUUUUAGAACUAACCAGAUAUGAAAAUUAUGAUUUUUUUAAAUUAUCAUAACCCUUUAAUAUCUACUUCGAUUGUUGAGCUCAUAGACUUCAGCAAACGGUUAGUUUCUUUUAUGUUUAUUAGUUACUUUAUUUUAUUUUUAGACAAUUUAUUUUUACUUUUCAAGUAAAUAGUUUGACCGGUGGAAAUGAUAAUUCCUAGAGUAGUAUCACCAUCAUUUCGUCAAAAUCAUCUUCUAAACAAGAUGAUUUUCAUAUAAACCACGUGUUAAAGAUCGUUUCUGACAUUUUGGAGCUAUAUCAGGAGAGUGUGAAGGCCAACGAAAGCUUUUAAUCUUCAAAUUGGAAAAGUAAAUGGUUUACUUUGAAAAAUAAUUAUAUAUUUUAUUAUAAAUUAUUUUGGUAACUUAUUCUACGAAUUCAUUUCUUUUAUAUAUUUUUGAUGGUUGUAGUUUAUGUACAAGUUUUAGAAGCAUUAAAGUACGUUGCUGUAAUCAUGGAUUUUGAUAAAGUACAUUGAUAUUAAUUGCCAUGAAUAAAAUGUCUAAAAUACCUUUUAUAUGAUAUACAAAAAGGGGAGCUAACCAUAGCAAUCUUUUAUUUCUUACAUUUUAUGUGAUAUAAAAUACCUUCAUAUAUUA